CCGAUUAAAUAUAUAGUUCGUGUAACAUUAAUAAUUUUUAUUUUAUCGACCUCAGAGCAGGUGAGACUACC
Molecule: ribosomal RNA, 71 nt
Filed under: Barombiella acutangula
Lineage: Eukaryota; Metazoa; Arthropoda; Insecta; Coleoptera; Chrysomelidae
Description: partial 28S ribosomal RNA
Source: RNAcentral